GAGUAACACGUGGAUAAUCUACCCGAUGAUCCGGGAUAACACUUCGAAAGGGGUGCUAAUACCGGAUAAGCCUACGAGCUCUUUGGAGUUUGUGGGAAAAGGUGGGGACCUUCGGGCCUACUGUCAUCGAAUGAGUCCGCGUCCCAUUAGCUAGUUGGUGGGGUAACGGCCUACCAAGGCUACGAUGGGUAGCUGGUCUGAGAGGAUGAUCAGCCACACUGGAACUGAGACACGGUCCAGACUCC
Molecule: ribosomal RNA, 245 nt
Filed under: uncultured bacterium
Lineage: Bacteria
Description: partial 16S ribosomal RNA
Rfam family: Bacterial small subunit ribosomal RNA
Source: RNAcentral